Molecule: ribosomal RNA, 253 nt
Filed under: uncultured bacterium
Lineage: Bacteria
Description: partial 16S ribosomal RNA
Rfam family: Bacterial small subunit ribosomal RNA
Source: RNAcentral
UACGUAGGUGGCAAGCGUUGUCCGGAAUUCUUGGGCGUAAAGCGCGCGCAGGCGGUCCUUUAAGUCUGAUGUGAAAGCCCACGGCUCAACCGUGGAGGGUCAUUGGAAACUGGGGGACUUGAGUGCAGAAGAGGAAAGCGGAAUUCCACGUGUAGCGGUGAAAUGCGUAGAGAUGUGGAGGAACACCAGUGGCGAAGGCGGCUUUCUGGUCUGUAACUGACGCUGGGGUGCGAAAGCGUGGGGAGCAAACAGG